AUUGAACGCUAGCGGGAUGCUUUGCACAUGCAAGUCGAACGGAGUGGCGGACGGGUGAGUAAUAUAUUGGAACGUGCCCAGUAGCGGGGGAUAACUACUCGAAAGAAUGGCUAAUAACGAAUACUAUUGGGGCUGCCGAUAUCGGAUUAGCAAGUUGGUGGGGUAACGGGUAACCAAGGCAACGAUCCGUAGCUGGUUUGAGAGGACGACCAGCCACGCGUGGACUGAGACACGGCCCAGGCUCCUACGGGAGGCAGCAUGGGGGAAUUUUGGACAAUGAGGGAAACCCUGAUCCAGCCAUCCCGCGUGUAUGAGGAAGGCCUUCGGGUUGUAAAGUACUUUUGGCAGAGAAGCGGUAUCUGCAGAAUAAGCACCGGCUAACUACGUGCCAGCAGCCGCGGUAAUAC
This 407-nucleotide ribosomal RNA is filed under the name uncultured bacterium. Its description in RNAcentral is "partial 16S ribosomal RNA". It matches the Rfam family "Bacterial small subunit ribosomal RNA", at positions 30 to 526 of the family's 1533-position model. The record is from RNAcentral.